CCCGAGAGAACACGGUUUUAUGUUUGUUUUAUGAUGUUUGACCAUUCGUUUCAUUUGAAAAAAAAUUAUGUUUGGUAUUUUUACUGUUAUUAGAUGAUAACAUGAACAAUACUUUAAGUGUGAUUAUUUUUUAAUUUUUCAUAAAUUUUUCAAAUAAAACGGAUGGUCAAACAUUAAAUAUAGAAACCCCAACUGCACUUCAA
Molecule: microRNA precursor, 203 nt
Filed under: Oryza punctata
Lineage: Eukaryota; Viridiplantae; Streptophyta; Magnoliopsida; Poales; Poaceae
Description: MIR812 microRNA precursor family
Rfam family: MIR812 microRNA precursor family
Source: Rfam by way of RNAcentral